Long non-coding RNA from Hippopotamus amphibius kiboko, 4685 nucleotides. RefSeq lists it as uncharacterized. The record is from RefSeq and is a predicted model, not a curated record. Lineage: Eukaryota; Metazoa; Chordata; Mammalia; Artiodactyla; Hippopotamidae. The transcript is spliced from 4 exons.
AUCCCUGCGUUGCUAAGAGCUGGCCUUCAUCCUCGGGCCACUUGGGCCCGCACAGGGGGACUGGCCCUGGGCCACGUCCCGGUACUUGUAGGGCCGCGUCACACGGUCAAAAUCAGCCUUCUUGUCACCAACACUUUCUGUCCACUGAUCUCUGUAUUGUUUGGUAACAAAAACACAGAAACCAAGAACUGAGGGGAGAAUUCUAAAGGAUCGUGUUUAUAGAGAAACUUCCUCCACUCAUGUCAGCUGUGUGCUGGGGGCUGGGGCUCCCCUUGGGCGUGAGGUCUGUGAAAUGAGACAGGAGGUUCUAGUGGCAGAGCUCCCAUUAUGCAGCUUUGGGAAAAAUCUUUCGGUCACUCUAACUCACAGCCCCGGAUGUCACAGGACCGUAGGAUUGCGGUUUGCUACCUGCACUUCAGGAGGCUACAGAUGGUCAGUUGGAAUGAGGUUCAUUGCGUAUAAAAACUUUUCAAAGAUACAAUAUUAUUUUUCCCUUUGGUUCAAUACGGUACUUCUGAGCACUUUAAAAUCAUGGUAAAGAAGACAGCUCAGUGAAUCCCUAGGAGUGAUGCCUUAGUCCCUACCCGUGGGGAGAAAGAAGUCAUGUUUUUUUAAAGUGCAAUGAAGGACAUUCUUGUUUACAAUCAGCUCGACAGAGAAUCCAGUCCCUUCAUUGUAGACUGAGAUCAUAGCUGCUGGAUGUGAGGCCUAGAAUGAUAUUAAAACAUGCUUCAUUUUCAAGGACCACGAAAUGAAAAUAUUGAAUGUGGAAGAAAUUGCUUCAUGAGCUGUGAACGGAGGCUGUGCCCAGCGUGGUCGCAGCCAUCAGGUAGGGCCUCAGCCUGUAACUGGAGUUCCCCAGAUUCCUCCGAUCUCUGCAGAGAGGAGGACUGGUGUCCGGCCAAGAUAAAUACUGGAUGGAGUGGGCUCAGCUCUCUCAUUAACUGAGCUGUUUUCCUUCAAUGGGACUUGAGAACAGAGCUUUGCGCUAGAAUUUCCUGUUUCACUUUCCUUUCAUCUCGGCGUCUCCUCAGCCCGAAGUCUUCCAUUUAUAUCAAGAUGUUCCUCCCGCAAAGCCUGGGCUCUGCACCCUCCCGAGGCCGAGGAGCUGGAGGGUCAGCCGACACAGCCCUCGUCCUCCUGUCCUUCAGAAGACCCAUCGCGACCUCGUGCACGUCAGACAAAGAUGGCUCUGAAGUUAUGUUCCCGGUGCAGGUGGCAGGCACAUUGCCCAGCAGCUCCUGAGGACACGUGUGCGGACGUCAGAGUGAGACCCUGCUCACAUGCAAGUCAGUACUCACUGCCAGCAAGGCCCUCAGGGCUGCUGUUCCCCCGCCACCCCCCCGCCCUCCCCACCCUGGCAGCGGGGGGCGGGGAACCUUAACACAGACGCCCACUUUGUUUUCUAGGAAGAGAGAGCUAGGCGUCACCCCAUUUCUUAGUUACGUGAUGGACCCACAGGGACGGGGGAGCAGGAAGGAUUCUGUUUUGAAUAUGGAAACUUUCUCCCUCCCUCCCUCUCUUUUUCCUUCCUUAUUUUCUUCCUCUCUCUCUUUCUUCCUUCCUUUCUUUCUUCCUUUCUCUCCCUCUCUCUCACUUUAAGAUGAUUCCACAUCUGCAUAAUACGAGGCAAAAAGGACACAGGCUGAGUGACUUAGAGAUUCUUACGGUGAAGAAAACCAGAGUGAGUAACGCAGCGCAAGAGGGCACCAGGGAACAGCUGCUUUGCUUUUUAAGUCACUCGAGACAGAUAGGAUAAAUUCUGUAGAUAGUACGUGUAAACAUUAAGAGAAAAAGAUUGUGUAUCUCAUUUCUGUAAGGAGAGGAAGUCAGCAGAUGUCCAGGCUGAAGGCCGGGCAGGGACCAAGGAAGCACAGUGGGGGCAGGGCUUGUCUUUGCAGACCUGGCCUGGGCACCGUCCCUGUGAAGGGGUUUCUGAAAGCUGUGGCCCCUCCCAGGCCCCCAAGCCUCUUGCUGCAGGGGGUCGUGCCCUGCGGACUUGCGUGUCUGCACACCAGCAGGUUCCUCGGACGCAGGGGCGGUCGGACAGCAGAGGUGGGCAUGGGGAACCGUCACAGGCCCGGAGGGACUCGGGGAGUCACAGUGAUGAAAUGUGGCUCCUUUUUAAUUCCAGGCAUUAAUCCUUCCCCGUGCUUCCCCGCACUUAGGACCUAAACAAGAGGGUGUCCUGAACCCCUUAGGUUCACAGCUUCCUGUCCCUCAUCCUUACUUCGUUCCCCAGAUUACCCCACUGGACCCAUGUUCUGUGACACUUCUUCUCCCCGAGAGCCUCCCAGCCUCUGUGCCCCAGUCAGCUCAGAUCCUCACAGGCCGGGGGCGAUGUGGGGGGAAAGGGGGCCCCAAAACAGGGGCCAAAACGAGCUGCAAGCCCGCCCGGCCCCACAGCACGGCCUGGACUCUGCACGACAGGGCCUUUGUGCUCGGGCGUCCUCACGUCCAGGAGCCCGAGGGCUUGAGGAGCACACGGCUGCUGGGAGGGACAUGCCUUCCGUGGAGACCACACGGGUGGCAGGAGACAGAAGCGCCUCAGUGUGAGAGGGGCUCAAAACACACAAGAAAGUAUUUACCACAGCAAGUCAUCAGACUUGAAGCAAUAGAACAAUGUUCUCACGUAAGCUAUAGAAUAAAUAUUUUAAAAUUUUAAAAAUAUUUUAAAAAUUUCAAAGAAAGACUAGAAUCCACAGGGAGGUAACAAGAUCCUUUAAAAGAAUAGGUAGCUUGAAAGAACAGAACUCUUAGGGAAAAGAAAGCAGUUAUUAAAAUGUAAAAUUCACGGUUAAGCCAUGCUAGAUGUAGGUGAAGAAAGAAUCAGUGAUCUAGUAUGCGUGUGUGUCUGAGGAUGCCCCCCAGGACAGGAAGACACAACAAGGUAGAGAGAGGCACAUAAAGCAGUGCUGUCUGCCAUGAGCGGGAGCCCAGGCCCCAACGUGCCUGGAUAGGUGUGCUUGUCGAGGACACAGUUCCUGUUCUGCCGUCCUCACUCACGGAGUCCUCAUUAGUUGGGGUUGCGAUGUGCCCGGCUGAAAAUGCCCUCCAACCCCCCUCAGUGAAGGUGUGACCAAGGGGCAAGAUCUCUCUGACAAGGCAGAAGCAGGACUUCCAGCCGAAGUUCCCAGGAUGCUCCUCCCAGCUCCUCCCGUGUGGCCACGGGCACAGCCGGAGCUGGCAUCUCCAAACACACAGAGGAUGAAGCAGAAAGCCAACAGGUCAGUCCUGCCCUCCUCCAGAUACCCAGUCACGCGAGAAGGAACAUCUCCCUCUCAUUCAUCCGGGCCGCUGGCGGUUUGUGUUUCAUCUCAGGCAUUCGGAUGUCAUCUCUCCACUGAUAAAACAAGAUCAGAGGCAGCUGGAGGGAAGGCAUGCAGAGUGGAGGCAAUACAGUAUUUUACAGAGAAAGUCCCUGAGAGCUCUCAACUCCAAAGGAAAACACUCAGGAGGAAGAAUCUCACCACAGGACUUCCCUGGUGGUGCAGUGGCUCAGAAUCCGCCUGCCAAUGCAGGGGACACGGGUUCAAGCCCUGGGCCGGGAAGAUCCCACAUGCUGCAGAGCAACUAAGCCUGAGAGCCACAACUACUGAGCCCAUGUGCCACAACUACUGAAGCUGAUGCACCUAGAGCCUGUGCUCUGCAACAAGAGAAGCCACUGCAAUGAGAAGCCCACGCACCGCAAAAAAGAGUGGCCCCCGCUCACUGCAACUAGAGAAAGCGCCGUGUGCAACAACAAAGACCCAACACAGCAAAAAAAAAAAAAAAAAGAAUAUCACCACUUCCAUCUGGAAAGGUUAACAAGAACCAUGCUUAGCCAUGUUCAAAAGACAAAGGAGAGGAAGAAACUGUCCAAAGUCGCCACAGAGCCGAGUCGCUGCGAUGGGGAGCACAUUCCUUAAAAGAAAGACGCCAUGGUCAGUAGAGUCACAUCUUCAAGGUAUUGCGAGGAAAUGACUGGCCUGAGUUCUAUAAGUAGCUAAACUAUUAUUCGAGAGCGAGAGCCAAAUAGAGGCUUUUUCAGGUGAAGUCACAGGCCCCGGCUGAAAUAACCGCCAAAGGACUCAUGUUAAAAAGGUGAGAAAUGAAGCCAGAGAAAUUCAGGAAGCAUCCUUGACCGAGACAUCGAUAGAUGUGAGUAAAUCUAAGUACUCGUUCACUCCAGAACAUGGAGGAGGACCUGCGGAACCUGACAAAGCUGGAGGCUGAAGCUGACAGGGGACACACAGGCAGCCACCCUCUGCGCCUUCCUUCCAGUUUGUGCUGGACUCGGUCACUCCACACAAGGUCCACCUCCGGUUAUUUCUCUAAGAAGCGGAUGGUAAAGUCAAAAAGCCCACAGCAGCGGGGACGUCAGGCCCUAACGAGGCUUUCUCCGUGACUUCUGGGCCAGAAAUCUUUGACACCUAACAUGAUUUCAGUUUACAGUUUCAUUCCAGGGAGAAAUAGCGGUAACUGACACUGUAUAGAAGUUGGAUCAAUACACACCUGAAGCAAUAAAGCCUGUGGCAUCUCUGACCUUUGGGGACUCCCCGCUUCGAACUGCUCCUCCUCCAUCUUAUCAAACUCCCCCAGGGACACUCACCCAAUUGCAUGAGAACGACAUAGAAUCGGAGGCCUGCCCACCAAGCCCCCGCCCCCGGUGCCCAGGCCUCCCGGCAUCGUCUGCAGCAGCGUGG